UGGGGAAUUGUUCACAAUGGGCGCAAGCCUGAUGACGCAACGCCGCGUGGGGGAUGAAGGUCUUCGGAUCGUAAACCCCUGUCGAAUGGGACGAAAGACUCGCGAGUGAAUACUUCGCGAGAGUGACGGUACCGUUAAAGGAAGCCACGGCUAACUCUGUGCCAGCAGCCGCGGUAAUACAGAGGUGGCAAGCGUUGUUCGGAUUUACUGGGCGUAAAGGGCGCGUAGGCGGCAAUUCAAGUCAUCUGUGAAAUCUCCGGGCUUAACUCGGAACGGUCAGAUGAUACUGCUUUGCUAGAGUGCAGAAGGGGCAAUCGGAAUUCUUGGUGUAGCGGUGAAAUGCGUAGAUAUCAAGAGGAACACCUGAGGUGAAGGCGGGCUACUGGGCUGAUACUGACGCUGAGGCGCGAAAGCUAGGGGAGCAAACGGGAUUAGAUACCCAGGUAGUCCCUGAGCGGGCUGGCAAGGCGCAU
This 473-nucleotide ribosomal RNA is filed under the name uncultured bacterium. RNAcentral describes it as "bacterial SSU rRNA". It matches the Rfam family "Bacterial small subunit ribosomal RNA", at positions 355 to 825 of the family's 1533-position model. The record is from RNAcentral.